This 713-nucleotide ribosomal RNA is filed under the name uncultured bacterium. RNAcentral describes it as "bacterial SSU rRNA". It matches the Rfam family "Bacterial small subunit ribosomal RNA", at positions 10 to 721 of the family's 1533-position model. The record is from RNAcentral.
AGUUUGAUCAUGGCUCAGGACGAACGCUAGCGGCAGGCUUAAUACAUGCAAGUCGAACGGUAAGGUCUCUUCGGAGAUACACGAGUGGCGCACGGGUGCGUAACGCGUAUGCAACCUACCUUUAACUGGGAAAUAGCCCCGAGAAAUCGGGAUUAAUGUCCCAUACUAUUCUGAGAAUGCAUAUUCUUAGAAUGAAAGCUCCGGCGGUUAUUGAUGGGCAUGCGUGACAUUAGCUAGUUGGUGAGGUAACGGCUCACCAAGGCUACGAUGUCUAGGGGUCCUGAGAGGGUUAACCCCCACACUGGUACUGAGACACGGACCAGACUCCUACGGGAGGCAGCAGUAAGGAAAAUUGGGCAAUGGACGCAAGUCUGACCCAGUCAUGCCGCGUGAAGGAUGAAUGUCCUAUGGAUUGUAAACUUCUUUUAUGCAGGAAAAACAUCCCGGUCGUGAACCGGGACUGAUGGUACUGUAUGAAUAAGCAUCGGCUAACUCCGUGCCAGCAGCCGCGGUAAUACGGAGGAUGCAAGCGUUAUCCGGAUUCAUUGGGUUUAAAGGGUGCGCAGGCGGAAUGAUAAGUCAGUGGUGAAAUCUCCCGGCUCAACCGGGAAACUGCCAUUGAUACUGCCGUUCUUGAGUACAGUUGAAGUGGGCGGAAUGUGUCAUGUAGCGGUGAAAUGCUUAGAUAUGACACAGAACACCGAUAGCGAAGG